RNAcentral lists this ribosomal RNA (365 nucleotides) under uncultured bacterium. Its description in RNAcentral is "bacterial SSU rRNA". It matches the Rfam family "Bacterial small subunit ribosomal RNA", at positions 148 to 507 of the family's 1533-position model. The record is from RNAcentral.
GUUCGGAAACGGACGCUAAUACCGCAUACGUCCUACGGGAGAAAGCGGGGGAUCUUCGGACCUCGCNCCAUUAGAUGAGCCUAGGUCGGAUUAGCUAGUUGGUGAGGUAAUGGCUCACCAAGGCGACGAUCCGUAACUGGUCUGAGAGGAUGAUCAGUCACACUGGAACUGAGACACGGUCCAGACUCCUACGGGAGGCAGCAGUGGGGAAUAUUGGACAAUGGGGCGAAAGCCUGAUCCAGCCAUGCCGCGUGUGUGAAGAAGGUCUUCGGAUUGUAAAGCACUUUAAGUUGGGAGGAAGGGUAGUAACCUAAUACGUUACUACUUUGACGUUACCGACAGAAUAAGCACCGGCUAACUUCGUG